CCCAGACUCCUACGGGAGGCAGCAGUGGGGGAUAUUGCACAAUGGGGGGAACCCUGAUGCAGCGACGCCGCGUGGGUGAAGGAGCGUUUCGGCGCGUAAAGCCCUAUCGGCAGGGAAGAAGGAGGACGGUACCUGACUAAGAAGCCCCGGCUAACUACGUGCCAGCAGCCGCGGUAAUACGUAGGGGGCAAGCGUUAUCCGGAUUUACUGGGUGUAAAGGGGGCGCGGACGGCAGCGCAAGCCAGGAGUGAAAGCCCGGGGCCCAACCCCGGGACUGCUCUUGGAACUGCGCGGCUGGAGUGCAGGAGGGGCAGGCGGAAUUCCUGGUGUAGCGGUGAAAUGCGUAGAUAUCAGGAGGAACACCGGUGGCGAAGGCGGCCUGCUGGACUGCGACUGACGUUGAGGCCCGAAAGCGUGGGGAGCAAACAGGAUUAGAUACCCUAGUA
RNAcentral lists this ribosomal RNA (446 nucleotides) under uncultured bacterium. RNAcentral's name for it is "bacterial SSU rRNA". It matches the Rfam family "Bacterial small subunit ribosomal RNA", at positions 330 to 792 of the family's 1533-position model. The record is from RNAcentral.